This 253-nucleotide long non-coding RNA is filed under the name Lathyrus oleraceus (garden pea). Its description in RNAcentral is "Pisum sativum (pea) long non-coding RNA (PSAT_LNC002826)". The record is from RNAcentral. Lineage: Eukaryota; Viridiplantae; Streptophyta; Magnoliopsida; Fabales; Fabaceae.
UGAGGUUGGGGCCAUCCUUUUUCUUCACCAUUACGUUGGUACUUGAUUCGGCCAGGUUCAUUUCGCCGGCUUUUCUUUUGGAUCUUCGCCUUCUCUGCUCUCUUCUCCACUGGGACCUCGUCAUGGGAUUCUUUCCUUUAUAGUUUUUGGACAUAUGUGCGGUCCUUUUGUCGGAUCAGAAUUCCUGGCGAUAGGCCAACGAUGAACCUCUUUCAACCUCAAACUUCUGCCACUUGUCAUGGCUACGUUUUCU